RNAcentral lists this ribosomal RNA (1437 nucleotides) under uncultured organism. RNAcentral describes it as "SSU rRNA". It matches the Rfam family "Bacterial small subunit ribosomal RNA". The record is from RNAcentral.
UCUACAGGCUUAACACAUGCAAGUCGAGGGGCAUCAGGAAGAAAGCUUGCUUUCUUUGCUGGCGACCGGCGCACGGGUGAGUAACACGUAUCCAACCUGCCCUUUACUCGGGGAUAGCCUUUCGAAAGAAAGAUUAAUACCCGAUAGCAUAAUGAUUCCGCAUGGUUUCAUUAUUAAAGGAUUCCGGUAAAGGAUGGGGAUGCGUUCCAUUAGGUUGUUGGUGAGGUAACGGCCCACCAAGCCUUCGAUGGAUAGGGGUUCUGAGAGGAAGGUCCCCCACAUUGGAACUGAGACACGGUCCAAACUCCUACGGGAGGCAGCAGUGAGGAAUAUUGGUCAAUGGGCGCUAGCCUGAACCAGCCAAGUAGCGUGAAGGAUGAAGGCUCUAUGGGUCGUAAACUUCUUUUAUAUAAGAAUAAAGUGCAGUAUGUAUACUGUUUUGUAUGUAUUAUAUGAAUAAGGAUCGGCUAACUCCGUGCCAGCAGCCGCGGUAAUACGGAGGAUCCGAGCGUUAUCCGGAUUUAUUGGGUUUAAAGGGAGCGUAGGUGGACUGGUAAGUCAGUUGUGAAAGUUUGCGGCUCAACCGUAAAAUUGCAGUUGAUACUGUCAGUCUUGAGUACAGUAGAGGUGGGCGGAAUUCGUGGUGUAGCGGUGAAAUGCUUAGAUAUCACGAAGAACUCCGAUUGCGAAGGCAGCUCACUGGACUGCAACUGACACUGAUGCUCGAAAGUGUGGGUAUCAAACAGGAUUAGAUACCCUGGUAGUCCACACAGUAAACGAUGAAUACUCGCUGUUUGCGAUAUACAGUAAGCGGCCAAGCGAAAGCAUUAAGUAUUCCACCUGGGGAGUACGCCGGCAACGGUGAAACUCAAAGGAAUUGACGGGGGCCCGCACAAGCGGAGGAACAUGUGGUUUAAUUCGAUGAUACGCGAGGAACCUUACCCGGGCUUAAAUUGCAGUGGAAUGAUGUGGAAACAUGUCAGUGAGCAAUCACCGCUGUGAAGGUGCUGCAUGGUUGUCGUCAGCUCGUGCCGUGAGGUGUCGGCUUAAGUGCCAUAACGAGCGCAACCCUUAUCUUUAGUUACUAACAGGUUAUGCUGAGGACUCUAGAGAGACUGCCGUCGUAAGAUGUGAGGAAGGUGGGGAUGACGUCAAAUCAGCACGGCCCUUACGUCCGGGGCUACACACGUGUUACAAUGGGGGGUACAGAAGGCAGCUAGCGGGUGACCGUAUGCUAAUCCCAAAAUCCUCUCUCAGUUCGGAUCGAAGUCUGCAACCCGACUUCGUGAAGCUGGAUUCGCUAGUAAUCGCGCAUCAGCCACGGCGCGGUGAAUACGUUCCCGGGCCUUGUACACACCGCCCGUCAAGCCAUGGGAGCCGGGGGUACCUGAAGUACGUAACCGCAAGGAUCGUCCUAGGGUAAAACUGGUGACUGGG